Molecule: transfer RNA, 77 nt
Filed under: Citrobacter freundii
Lineage: Bacteria; Pseudomonadati; Pseudomonadota; Gammaproteobacteria; Enterobacterales; Enterobacteriaceae
Also listed under: 1 other name
Description: tRNA-Gly(gcc)
Rfam family: tRNA
About the family: Transfer RNA (tRNA) molecules are approximately 80 nucleotides in length. Their secondary structure includes four short double-helical elements and three loops (D, anti-codon, and T loops).
Source: RNAcentral
GCGGGAAUAGCUCAGUUGGUAGAGCACGACCUUGCCAAGGUCGGGGUCGCGAGUUCGAGUCUCGGUUUCCCGCUCCA